RNAcentral lists this ribosomal RNA (448 nucleotides) under uncultured bacterium. RNAcentral's name for it is "bacterial SSU rRNA". It matches the Rfam family "Bacterial small subunit ribosomal RNA", at positions 29 to 526 of the family's 1533-position model. The record is from RNAcentral.
AAUGAACGCUGGCGGCACGCUUUAUACAUGCAAGUCGAAUGGGUUUAGGCCCAUGGCAAACGGGUGAGUAACGCGUAGGAAUUUACCUUUCAGAGGGGGAUAAUCUCGGGAAACUGAGGAUAAUACCGCAUAUUCUUGGAAACAAGGAAAGAUUUAUCGCUGAAAGAUAAGCCUGCGUCAGAUUAGGUAGUUGGUAAGGUAAAGGCUUACCAAGCCGAAGAUCUGUAGUUGGUCUGAGAGGAUGAUCAACCACACUGGGACUGAGAUACGGCCCAGACUUCUACGGAAGGCAGCAGUAGGGAAUAUUGGACAAUGAACGCAAGUUUGAUCCAGCGAUGCCGCGUGAAUGAUGAAGGCCUUCGGGUCGUAAAAUUCUUUCAUUUGCUAUGAUAAUGACAAGCAAAAUAAGAAGCUCCGGCUAACUCCGUGCCAGCCGCCGCCGUAAAAC